Molecule: ribosomal RNA, 957 nt
Filed under: uncultured Marivirga sp.
Lineage: Bacteria; Pseudomonadati; Bacteroidota; Cytophagia; Cytophagales; Marivirgaceae
Description: bacterial SSU rRNA
Rfam family: Bacterial small subunit ribosomal RNA
Source: RNAcentral
GGUCUAUGAUUUCUGACGCACGGGUGCGUACACGUAUGCAACCUACCCUUUACAGGAGUAUAGCUCGGGGAAACUCGAAUUAAUGCUCCAUGAAAUAGUUGAAUGGCAUCAUUUGAUUAUUAAAGCUGAGGUGGUAAAGGAUGGGCAUGCGUCUGAUUAGCUAGUUGGUAGUGUAACGGACUACCAAGGCGAUGAUCAGUAGGGGAACUGAGAGGUUGAUCCCCCACACUGGCACUGAGAUACGGGCCAGACUCCUACGGGAGGCAGCAGUAGGGAAUAUUGGUCAAUGGGUGAGAGCCUGAACCAGCCAUGCCGCGUGCAGGAAGACGGCCUUCUGGGUUGUAAACUGCUUUUGCCAGGGGCUAAAAAGUCCAUGCGUGGAAAUUGAAAGUACCUGGUGAAUAAGCCACGGCUAACUACGUGCCAGCAGCCGCGGUUAAUACGUAGGUGGCAAGCGUUGUCCCGGAUUUAUUGGGUUUAAAGGGUGCGUAAGCCGGCUCUGUAAGUCAGUGCUGAAUAUCCCGGCUUAACUGGGAGGGUGGCAUUGAUACUGUGGGGCUAGAGUACAGAUGAGGUAGGCGGAAUUGACGGUGUAGCGGUGAAGUGCUUAGAUAUCGUCAAGGACACCUAUAGCGAAGGCAGCUUACUAGGCUGUAACUGACGCUGAGGCACGAAAGUGUGGGGAUCAAACAGGAUUAGAUACCCUGGUAGUCCACACUGUAAACGUUGAUUACUCGCUGUGUGCGAUAUACAGUACGCGGCCAAGCGAAAGCGCUAAGUAAUCCACCUGGGGAGUACGCCGGCAACGGUGAAACUCAAAGGAAUUGACGGGGGUCCGCACAAGCGGUGGAGCAUGUGGUUUAAUUCGAUGAUACGCGAGGAACCUUACCUGGGCUAGAAUGCCCAUGACCGGUCCAGAGAUGGACUCUUCCGCAAGGACAUGGAGCAAGGUGCUGA